This 484-nucleotide ribosomal RNA is filed under the name uncultured bacterium. Its description in RNAcentral is "partial 16S ribosomal RNA". It matches the Rfam family "Bacterial small subunit ribosomal RNA", at positions 30 to 507 of the family's 1533-position model. The record is from RNAcentral.
AUUGAACGCUGGCGGCAGGCCUAACACAUGCAAGUCGAGCGGUAGCGCGAAGCUUGCUUCUCUUGAGAGCGGCGGACGGGUGAGUAAUGCCUAGGAACCUGCCUGGCAGUGGGGGAUAACGUUCGGACACGGACGCUAAUACCGCAUACGUCCUACGGGCGAACGCAGGGGACCUUCGGGCCUUGCGCUAUCAGAUGAGCCUAGGUCGGAUUAGCUAGUUGGUGGGGUAAUGGCUCACCAAGGCGACGAUCCGUAACUGGUCUGAGAGGAUGAUCAGUCACACUGGAACUGAGACACGGUCCAGACUCCUACGGGAGGCAGCAGUGGGGAAUAUUGGACAAUGGGCGAAAGCCUGAUCCAGCCAUGCCGCGUGUGUGAAGAAGGUCUUCGGAUUGUAAAGCACUUUAAGUUGGGAGGAAGGGCAGUAAAUUAAUACUUUGCUGUUUUGACGUUACCGACAGAAUAAGCACCGGCUAACUCUGUG